UGACAGGACUCUACACACUGACAGGACUCUACACUCUGACACUGACAGGACUCUACACACUGACAGGACUCUACACACUGACAGGACUCUACACACUGACACUGACAGGACUCUACACACUGACAGGACUCUACACACUGACACUGACAGGACUCUACACACUGACACUGACAGGACCCUACACACUGACAGGACUCUACACACUGACAAGACUCUACACACUGACACUGACAGGACUCUACACACUGACACUGACAGGACUCUACACACUGACAGGACUCUACACACUGACAGGACUCUACACACUGACACUGACAGGACUCUACACUCUGACACUGACAGGACUCUACACACUGACAGGACUCUACACACUGACACUGACAGGACUCUACACACUGACACUGACAGGACUCUACACACUGACAUGACUCUACACACUGACAUGACUCUACACACUGACACUGACAGGACCCUACACGCUGACACUGACAGGACUCUACACACUGACAGGACUCUACACACUGACAGGACUCUACACUCUGACAGGACUCUACACACUGACAGGACCCUACACUCUGACAGGACUCUACACUCUGACAGGACUCUACACUCUGACAGGACUCUACACACUGACAGGACUCUACACACUGACAGGACUCUACACACUGACACUGACAGGACUCUACACAAUGACAGGACUCUACACAGUGACAGGACCCUACACACUGACAGGACUCUACACACUGACAGGACUCUACACUCUGACAGGACUCUACACACUGACAGGACUCUACACUCUGACAGGACUCUACACACUGACAGGACUCUACACACUGACAGGACUCUACACACUAACAGGACUCUACACUCUGACAGGACUCUACACACUGACAGGACUCUACACACUGACAGGACCCUACACACUGACAGGACUCUACACACUGACAGGACUCUACACACUGACAGGACUCUACACACUGACAGGACUCUACACACUGACAGGACUCUACACUCUGACAGGACUCUACACACUAACAGGACUCUACACUCUGACAGGACCCUACACACUGACAGGACUCUACACACUGACAUGACUCAACACACUGACAGGACUCUACACACUGACAGGACUCUACACACUGACAGGACCCUACACACUGACAGGACUCUACACACUGACAGGACUCUACACACUGACAGGACUCUACACACUGACAGGACUCUACACACUAACAGGACUCUACACUCUGACAGGACCCUACACACUGACAGGACUCUACACACUGACAUGACUCAACACACUGACAGGACUCUACACACUGACAGGACUCUACACACUGACAGGACCCUACACACUGACAGGACUCUACACACUGACAGGACUCUACACACUGACAGGACUCUACACACUGACACUGACAGGACUCUACACUCUGACACUGACAGGACUCUACACACUGACAGGACUCUACACACUGACACUGACAGGACUCUACACACUGACACUGACAGGACUCUACACACUGACAGGACUCUACACACUGACAGGACUCUACACACUGACACUGACAGGACCCUACACACUGACAGGACUCUACACAUUGACACUGACAGGACUCUACACACUGACACUGACAGGACCCUACACACUGACACUGACAGGACUCUACACACUGACAGGACUCUACACACUGACAGGACUCUACACACUGACAGGACUCUACACACUGACAGGACUCUACACUCUGACAGGACUCUACACACUGACAGGACUCUACACACUGACAGGACUCUACACACUGACAGGACUCUACACACGGACUCUACACACUGACAGGACUCUACACACUGACAGGACCCUACGCUUCCAUAUAUCUGAACAGAGAGAGAGAGAGCGAGAGAGAGAGAGAGAGAGAGAGAGAGAGACUGCUUCCAUAUACUUGAACACAGAGAGAGAGACUGCUUCCAUGUUGAUUUGUGUGUGAGAAGGACCUGCCACUUGGACUUGUGUGACCUGGACAAUAAUAAUCAACUUAGAGGAGACACAACUCAGGAGCAGGGCUCUAUUGUACCUCCAUCAGGUCCUAAUGGCCUGGUACUCCAAUCAAGUUGUAGAAACAUCUCAAGGAUGAUCAAUGGGAAAGAGGAUACACCUGAGCUCAAUUUAGAGUCUCAUAGCAAAGGGUCUGAAUACUUAUGUAAAUAAGGUAAUUCUGUUUUUGUUUUUUUAUACAUUUUCAAAAAUUGACAGAAACUGCUUUCGCUUUGUAAUUAUGGAGUAUUGUUUGUAGAUUGCUGAGGAUUUUUUAUUUAUUUAAUCAAUUUUAGACUGAGGCUGUACUGUAACAAAAUGUGGAAAAAGUCAAGGGGGUCUGAAUACUUUCUGAAGUCAAUGUGUAUAUAAUUUAAAAUAAAAAAAUAGAUAUACAAAAAAACGACAUAUGUUGAAUGAAUGUGGUAUUAAUCAGAACUUGCAGUUUGAAAGUACAGUUGAACAUAAAGUAUUAAGUAUUACAACAAAGACUGUAGUUCAAACAUUUGUCCACCAGAGAGCAGACUUUCUUUCUCUUAAUCUCAAUAAACAAUUUACCGGUUGAAAGUAAACAAAAAUGUAUAAAAAUAUACAUGAACACAAUGUUUUACAAAUAUGCAAAUUAAGUUAUAUCUCAUUAAAUAUGCACAAUAUUUGCAUAUCACCGAAAUCCAAUUUUCUGGACACUGGAUAAAGUCGGCCUAAAUAUUUUUGUGUCAUUUUGCUAAGACACUCCAGGACCGGACUUCUGCAGAGCUGAUUGUGGAUUAAUAUUUUUAUUUUUUUAUUUCUACUUGUAAAAUACUAAAGACCAAUGAAUUUUUGGUGCAUUUUUCCCCCCAAAAAAUGUUAUCAAGAAUAAAAAAAAUGUACAGCAUAUCAACAAUUCCCUCUUGGGAGUGUACAAAACAUUAUGAACACCUGCUCUUUCCGUGACAGACUGACCAGGUGAGUCCAGGUGAAAACUAUGAUCCCUUAUUGAUGUCACUUGUUAAAUCCACUUCAAAAUCAGUGUAGAUUAGGGUAUUUAUUAUGGAUCCCCAGGACUCUUUCUGGGGUCUGGCAAAAUUAAGGCAGUUAUACCAAUUUAAAAACAUUACAAUACAUUCAUUACAGAAUUCACAACACACUAUGUGUGUGCCCUCAGGCCCAUACUCCAUUACCACAUAUCUACAACACAAAAUCCAUCUGUACGUGUGUGUAUAGUGAGUAUGUUAUUAUGUGUGUGUAGGCAUGUGUCUAUGCUUAUGUCUGUCUUGCCUCAGUCCCCACUGUUCCAUAAGGUGUAUUUAAAAAAAUGGUUUAAAAAAAAUCUGAUUCUACUGCUUGCAUCAGUUACCUGAUGUGGAUUCUCUCUCUCUCUCUCUCUAUCUCUCUCUCUCUCUCAGUAAAUAGUAGUAAUGACUUUCACUUAAAAACACACACAUUCUUACUAUCUUUUGCUUUCAAUUGACAUCUGAAUAGUAAUGACUGAUACAUUAACUGUUCUCUAACUGGUUCUAAAAUUAAUAGUAAUGACUGAACUCAAAUGUUCUUUCUAUGCUUUGACUUCACUCUCUCUCUCUCUCUGACUCUCUCGCUCUCUCUCUCUCUCUCUCUCUCUACCCAAACUCUGUCUUUCUUUCACUGUCUCCCUGAACUCUCUCUGUCUCUUUGUCCCUCCCUGGGUGAAUUCUAACGGUCUGAUCCCUCAGCCUGUCUGGACUCGUUCUGAAUAACAGUCAAAGCAAGGAGGGACAGAGAGGGUGUGUGAGAGGGAUAGAUGCCGUACUGCUACCUGGCCGCUAGAGCAGGAACUCCCCCACAGGCUCAGGAGAGGCAAAGGUCAAGUCAAUCGUCCUCUGCAACAUGACCUGCCAAACCUCGCUUCUUAACACCCACCACAGGCUCAGGAGAGGCAAAGGUCAAGUCAAUCGUCCUCUGCAACAUGACCUGCCAAACCUUGCUUCUUAACACCCACCACAGGCUCAGGAGAGGCAAAGGUCAAGUCAAUCGUCCUCUGCAACAUGACCUGCCAAACCUCUCUUCUUAACACCCCCCACAGGCUCAGGAGAGGCAAAGGUCAAGUCAAUCGUCCUCUGCAACAUGACCUGCCAAACCUCGCUUCUUAACACCCACCUGCUUAAUCAACAUGUCAGAGGAAACACUGUUCAACUGACAACCGAGGUCAGCCUGCAGGAGCCCAGCUCUCUACAAGGAGUCGCUAGAGUGCAAUGAGCCAAGUCAAGCACCAAACCCUAACGACGCUCGGCCAAUCGUACGACGCUGGGCCAAUCGUACGACGCUGGGCCAAUCGUACGCCGCCCACCCAUUGGGCUCUAGCGACUCCUUGUAGAGAGCUGGGCUCCUGCAGGCUGACCUCGGUUGUCAGUUGAACAGUGUUUCCUCUGAAAAAAAGUUAUCUUGCAAAUUCAGAAGGUGAAAUAGACUUUUAGAAGUUUCUUUGGUUAAUGCACGAGUACCAUUUUUAUUUUAGUACUUUGGUUAAUGCACGAGUACCUUUUUUCAAACUCCUAUCAUAACAUAAUUGUAUUAAGUCAAACAUAUUACUGUGCUUGAAGUUUAAAAUGCAUUUGUCAUUUCUAAAUGUGUAAUGUGAUAGGCAUUUUUUUCCCCCACAUUUUUAAACACACAAAAAGACUGGAUUAAUAAAAUAAUUCAAUCAGU
Molecule: long non-coding RNA, 4699 nt
Organism: Oncorhynchus nerka (sockeye salmon)
Lineage: Eukaryota; Metazoa; Chordata; Actinopteri; Salmoniformes; Salmonidae
Exons: 2
Source: RefSeq, a predicted model, not a curated record